RNAcentral lists this long non-coding RNA (9233 nucleotides) under Hordeum vulgare. RNAcentral describes it as "long non-coding RNA (HVUL_LNC010460)". Lineage: Eukaryota; Viridiplantae; Streptophyta; Magnoliopsida; Poales; Poaceae. The record is from RNAcentral.
UUCCUUCGAUCACCUCGCGAGCUCCAACACCCCAAAGCCGUUAGACUUGCGCUGACCGCCGUCCUUGCCGCUAGAGCACCGGUCGUGUAGCGAGAGCCUGUGUGCGACUGCGAGCUUGUCCGCCUUUGCUCACCGUAUUUGUAAGUCUUCAUAACCCACUUCGUUCACCGCUAGGUUUCUUAAGUUCUUUGUAGUUCAUCGGCGAUCAUUGAGUCUCCUCAAGUUCUUAAGUCAAUAUAGAUUAAACAUGUAUUAUUUAAUAGUUUAGAUCUCUUCACUCCUCAAUUUUAGAUCUAAACAAGUUUCUUUGAGAUGUAGAUGUUGAUUUCCUCCCUUGCGAGUAUAAUGACCAUUGUUGUCAUGUUCUAGGUCACAACUUUUUAUUUUCACCAUAAUUUUUUGUCGUUUAUAAGAUAUGUAGGACUGUCAUAGCUUCAUCGAGUAGUCGAGUAGUGUUUGUCUUCUGUGACCCGGCGGUAGUUUCCAAACGACUGGCUUACGCUCUCGCAAUAGUUUAUUUACUCGUAAGUUUUCCGUGAAAACAAAGCCAACUUGCCUUCUCGUUGACCAGGGAUUCCUCUGUGAGGCGACUUUUCAUAUUGUGACCGACUUGCUUCCAUACCGUAGUCAUGAGUCAUUUUUGCCUUGAAUCACGCUAGUCCAUGUCGGCUCAUUUUGUUUAGCUUUACUUCGUAGUCCUGCCGACUUCUGCAUCCAAAAACCAUGGCUUCCAAGGGGAAGAAAUCUAGUGAGCCAGCUCGCGACGAUUCUACAUACCGGCAAAAGCACGUGAAUUGGGCAAAGUCUGAAAUAACCAAGACCAGUCUCGAGGAGUUGCAACGAGUUGGUUUUCUGUCGUCACAGGAACACAUCAAGUGGAGAGCUUCUGAAGACGAAAUCCGGCCACAGUCUUAAGAGGGUGAAGUCAUUGUAUUUGCAGUUCAUCUAACCCAGGGUUUUGUUAGAAGAACUAAGCUCAGGUCAGGUAGUUUGUUUCUGUUUUCCAAUAAGCCUGCAUGGUUGUUAGGACCAGCUAUUCCCGCGUUCCAUGCAGGCGGACUGAGGACGUGCAGUAGGCGCGAUCGCUCAUUCUCCUGAUUCUUCUGUAAGUUAGUUUCUUUCUCCCGGUCAGCACACGCAUGUGGUACUGGAGAUCGUGGGAUGGCGCGGUCAAUCCGGAUCACAUCGAGCUGGCCGGGGUAGUUAGCUAGGACUUUCUGUAACAGAGAUAAUACGCAAGAGAAGCAAUAGAAAACGCUGGGGCAGUUGCCACAACACCAAAAACUACUGACACUCGAUUGCAAAGAGCUCGCAUCUCUCUCUCUCGUUCGAUUCGCGACGACAUUUGGCAUUAGAGCCUCGGUGUUUGAUCCUUGGUGACCGGCGGUGUGUGAUCCGCGGAGGCUAUGUCGGACAACGAGAAGACGAAGAAGGCGACGGCGGGGCAGCAGACGCUAUCGGCUGGAACACCGGUAGCUCGUCUCACCGGCGCCGGAAGUGGCGAGUUCCGCAUCAUCGAGCGGGUCGUCCGUGAGUCGGAGGGCUCGUCGGCGUCAAUGAUGCUGACGAAGACAAACUACAUGGAGUGGUCUUUGGUCAUGCAGGUUAAACUGCAGGCUGCGUGUCUCUAGACAGCGGUCACUGAGGGCACGGACGACGAGCGCGACGACAGGCGCGCCCUCUCCGUCAUCCUUACGGGCGUGCCGCCGGAGAUGCUUCGUGUUCUCGCGGCGAAGGACACGGCAAAGAUGGCCUGGGAGACCAUCAGAACGCUCCGCAUGGGGAGUGAGCGCGCAUGGGAGGCCAAGGCACAGGUACGGCGGCGGGAGUUCGAGGAUCUCCGCUUCAAGGACGGCGAGACCGUCGAGGACUUCGCCCUGCCCCUCACCGGCGUCGUCGCUGAUCUGGAGCUAUACGGCGACCCAGUGACGGAGCACGUGGCGGUCCAGAAGUUCCUUAGGGUCGUACCGCGCAAGUACAGGCAGAUGGCCAUGGCGAUCGAGUCGCUGAUCGACCUCAAAACCAUGACGGUCGAGGAGCUGACCGGGCGGCUAUCGGCGUGUGAGGAUCAAUACGGCCUCGACGAUGUCGGACACUCCAGUGGACAACUCCUGCACACCGCUGAAGAGGGGGCCGCGCGCGAGAACAAGAGCGGCGGCAGAUGACGAGGAUCGUCAUCUGCAGGCGGUGGCAGAAAGGGUAGAUCUCCGGGAAAACCAUCGGGCAAAGGUGGCGGCGGAGGCAGGAAGCCACCGUCUGGCAACGGCGGUUCCGGUGCAUCCAAUGGCAAGAAGAAGGGCAAAUGUCACUUCUGCGGCAAGGACGGACACUGGAAGAAAGAGUGCUGGACGUGGUUGGAGAAGCAGAAGGAACAAGGGAAGAAGGAACAGGCUAACCUCAUCCGCGAGGAUCACGAUGAGCACGACCAAGGUCUCUUCAUGGCCGUGGUUACAAGCGUCACCACACCUGAACUGGUGGCGCCCCAAGCUGUUUUUCUGAAUGAAGAAAAGGUGAUUCCAAUCCCUUCUCCAAACGGCCUCUCGUACUAUGAUACAGGGGCAUCCAGCCACAUGACCGGGGAGAGACACAUGUUCUCCACACUCGACGAAGGUGUGCACGGCACGGUGAAGUUUGGAGACGGCUCACUGGUAGAUAUCAAGGGGAGGGGCGCAGUUGUGUUUCGCUGUCAGAAUGGGGAUCAACGUGCUCUCUCUGAAGUGUAUUUCAUCCCAAGUUUGCGCAGCAACAUCAUUUCAGUGGGACAGUUGGAUGAGGGUGGAUGCAAGAUAGGGAUCGAGGAUGGAAUCAUGACUAUCCGAGAUCCGGGGCAGCGCACACUCGCCCGAGUCAAGAGAACGGCGAGCACACUGUACACGGGUGUGCUGAAAAUUGACGCCCCUGUCUGCCUCCUCACCAAGACUGAAGAUGUCACCUGGCGCUGGCAUGCUAGAUUGGGACAUCUACAUUUCAGAGCGAUGCGAGCCUUGUCCACGAAGCAGAUGGUACGCGAGAUGCCGAUCAUUGAGCAUGUCGAGGAGUACUGCGAUGGUUGUGCAUUGGGAAAACAACACCGCGCGCCAUUCCCUCAGUCAGCCGGAUACAGAGCAGAGAAACCAUUUGACCUUGUUCACACAGACUUGUGUGGCCCAAUCACGCCGACCAUGCCAGGCGGCAGGAAGUACUUCCUGCUGGUGGUUGACGACUAUAGCCGAUACAUGUGGUUGGAGUUGCUGAAAUCCAAGGAUGAAGCUCAUCAGAAGUUCAAGAAAGUUCAGGCUAUGGCUGAGAACGAGGGAAACUGCAGGCUCCGCGCGUUCCGGUCUGAUCGGGGCGGCGAAUUCAACUCCAUUGAGUUCAGAGAAUACAGCGAGCAGUUGGGCAUCAAGCACUACACAACCGCCCCGUACUCUCCCCAGCAGAAUGGGGUGGUCGAACGCAGGAACCAGACUGUCGUCGAGAUGGCGCGGUGCUUGUUAAAGAGCAUGGGCGUGCCAUCGUACUUCUGGGCUGAAGCAGUGAAGACUGUAGUGUACCUGCUCAACAGGGCUCCUACGCGCAGCCUGGACGGGGUGACGCCGUAUGAGGCUUGGCACGGCAACAAGCCAAGUGUGUUGCACCGACGUGUGUUCGGGUGUGUAGCUCACCUGAAGAGGCUGGGCCCUGGAGUGAUGAAGCUCUCAGACAGAUCAACUCCGACGAUCUUCGUCGGCUAUGAGGAAGGAACCAAAGGCUACCAAGUGUACAAUCCGGCUACAGAGAAGGUACAAGUCACUCGUGAUGUUGUGUUUGAAGAAAGCAGGCCAUGGAGCUGGAGCACCCAAGGCGCAGUCACCGCGUCCACGCCGUCGACGUUCUCUGUGGUUUAUGCCCAAGAAUCAGGCGCGCAUGAACUGGACACGGGCGGUGCGUCCCUGUCAAUGCCGAGGAGCGCGGCGUCACCACCCCCCACACCGGCUAUGGAAGUGCACCAUAUGGAUGUGCAAUCAGCUUUUCUCAAUGGUGACCUCGCUGAGGAGGUCUAUGUUGCGCAGCCGCCGGGGUAUGUCAUCUCUGGCAAGGAGCAGUAGGUCUUUCGGCUGAGAAAGGCACUCUACGGGUUGCGGCAAGUUCCGAGAGCCUGGUAUGCGAAGCUGGAUGAGACCAUGAGCAACCUUGGGUUCACGCGCAGCCCCCUGGAGCAUGCCGUAUACCGCCGAGGUGAUGCACACUCAUUUCUGCUAGUGGGUGUGUAUGUCGACGACCUCAUCAUAACUAGCACCAGUAAAGCUUCCAUCAACGAGUUCAAGGACCAGAUGCAAGAGCUAUUCAAAAUGAGUGACCUCGGCCUCCUAAGCUACUAUCUGGGGAUAGAGGUAAUGCAAUCUAAUGAUUCUAUAUCCUUGUGUCAGAGGAGCUAUGCAGAGAAGAUCCUUGUCGCUGCUGGAAUGGAAGGCUGCCACGGAUGUCAGACUCCCAUGGAGUGCCGGCUCAAACUGAAGAAGGAUGAUGGAACAAAACCUGCUGAUUCCUCCCUGUAUCGCAGCAUCAUUGGAAGUCUGAGGUAUUUGGUUCACUCGCGACCGGAUAUAACAUAUGCGGUUGGGAUAGUGAGCAGGUUUAUGGAGAAACCGACUACUGCUCAUUGGACAGCCGUGAAGUAGAUUCUUCGGUAUGUAAAGAGCACACUGAAGUAUGGUUGUUGCUAUCGAAGAGGAUCAGGCAAGGCGGAGCUCAUAGGUUUCAGUGACAGCGAUCAUGCAGGAAAUACUGAAGAUCGAAAGAGCACUUCUGGGAAGUUUUUCUUCCUCGAGGACAAUCCCGUAUCAUGGGUCUCUCACAAGCAAAGGAUCGUGGCUAUUAGCUCUUGUGAGGCGGGGUAUGUAGCAGCAGCAGGGGCAACAUGUCAAGGCCUCUGGCUAAGCCGUCUGCUAGCAGAGAUGAGAGGGGAAAGUACUAAUGCUUUCAAGAUUUUCAUGGACAACCAGUCUGCAAUUGCUUUGGCGAAGAACCCCGUUCAUCACGACUGAAGAAAACAUAUUGAUGUCAAGUACCAUUUCAUCCGAGACUGUGUCGAGAAGAUGGAAGUGGAGAUCGAACAUGUUGGCACAAAUGAACAAAUUGCAGAUGCGUUGACAAAGGCGCUGGGUCGGGUGAAGUUCAUAGAGCUGCGGCAGAAGCUUGGUGUGAAGGAUGUGGGCAAAGGACGCUGAGCUUAAGGGGGAGAAAUGUUAGAAGAACUAAGCUCAGGUCAGGUAGUUUGUUUCUGUUUUCAAAUAAGCCUGCAUGGUUGUUUGGACCAGCUAUUCCCGCGCUCCAUGCUGGCGGGCUGAGGACGUGCAGUAGGCGCAAUCGCUCAUUCUCUUGAUUCUUCUGUAAGUUAGUUUCUUUCUCCCGGUCAGCACGCGCAUGUGGUACUGGAGAUCGUGGGAUGGCGCGGUCAAUCCGGAUCACAUCGAGCUGGCCAGGGUAGUUAGCUAGGACUUUCUGUAACAGAGAUAAUACGCAAGAGAAGCAACAGAAAACGCUGGGGCAGUGGCCACAGCACCAAAAACUACUGACAGUCGAUUGCAAAGAGCUCGCAUCUCUCUCUCUCGUUCGAUUUGCGACGACAGGUUUCACACUAAUUGGUUCCAAAUUCUUCACGGAUGUUCCGCGUGUGUACAAUUUGCAUCCUCACGACCUAGGGCUCUAUGACAUACUUAACUUGAGCAACUUCUAGACCUGGUGUGUAGUUUAUUUUCAAAUGGAACCAACAGUAGGCCUGUUCCUGGAAUUCUUCUACUACAACAAGCAGACGGGGUGUAGCAACGGACCUCCCAUAGAGUGUGGUGUUGUAACCAUACAUAAGCGGAAAGAUGACAUUUUUCCCCACAUUAAGCUGGUGAGUCAUCCUAAAGGGUGGCACAUGACCUUCUUCUACUGGAAAGACACCUGGCCUGAAGGCCAGUCUUCUAUGUCGGGUUACCAUGACAGUCGACUUGUUUAUAAGGAAAACCUCUGCAAUGAUGCACCAGUAGCAGAGAGGAAGAAAUUCAAGCCGGGCUUGCACAUAUUAAUGCGUUGAUUGCUCAUGUCUUGACGGGCAUCGACCUGACCCAACACUAGAUGGAGUGGCGGAUUCGGCCCCUUAGUUUCCGCUGCCUACCUAGUGCAAAUAUAUUGAAGAUCCAGAAGAUGGUCUGCGGUUCAUGAUACUUGUGAUCUGUGUUGGAUUUUUUCUCAAAUAGAAGGGGAUGAUGUAGAAUAGUAAAGGUAAGUAUUUCCCUCAGUGAGAACGAAGGUAUCGAACCAAUAGGGGUACCAUGCAAUUUCUUGUAUUCGACGCCUACACACAAAAGAGCACACACUUGCACCCAACGCCGGUAAUAGGGAUGUAAAUCCCCUUGAAGUCGUUACUUGCAAGCGAUAAGUAGUGGUAGAUAGAUAAUUUGAUCAAUAUAAAUUGGAAAUAAAAAGGAAGUUUGUACUACUUAUCCCUUUGUUUCGGGGUAUGAGGAUAAAUAUUAUGGUGUCGUGCCUCAGGAUAUAUAUUACCAGAAUAGGGCUCUAGAUGGACACACGACGGAGCGGAGACUUACGGCAGCAGAAAAAGUGUUUUGGGAUGCUCUUCUAGAGUUUUUGGAAUAUAUGUGAAUUUAUAGGCUAGAGAACAGGGCCAGGAGAGUUGGGAGGUGGCCUCAAGCCAUCAGUGUGCGGCCACCCCCCUAAGAAUGCCAUGUUGGCUUGGCGGCACAAUGUGUGCCCUCCGGUAUUCCUUUGAAACUUCCAGGUCUUAUUUUUGUUCAAAAAUAAUCAAAAAGUUUCGGGGUAUUUGGACUUUGUUUGAUACAGUAUAAAAGGCCAAAACAUGCAGAAAAUAACAACUGGCUUGUCACUGGGUUAAUGGUUAGUGCUUCAAAAUAAUAUAAAGAAGUAAGUAAAUGCUUAAAUGUGUUAUUAAAUGAUAAUAUAAUAGCAUGAAACAAUAAAAAGUUAUAGAUACAUUGGAGACGUAUCAGUUAUCAAAGCAUACCCACUCACUCAAGGAAAUGAUCGAGGCAAUCAAAGCCUUGGUUGGGGAAAACACUGAAGACAUUGUAGUCCUUGGUGUGGCUCCAUUUUUCGUUGUUAGCCCGACCCCUGAGGUAAGUCGGCUCCUUUAUUUUGUCAAUACACUCUUUAUCUCCUUUUGACCCCUUUAAGAAAAAUGGCUUAUAUUUUUCAACAUGACAAUGAACAGUGGAAAACUGAUUAUCAAGCUCCUAAUCCCCUGAAGAGGAAGUAGAGAAGAUACAAAAUGGUGAGACAAAUGAGGCAAAGCCCGAUUUUUUGGGUUGGCUGUUUAUUGCACUUCCUGACACCGACUCUUCUCAGAGUUUCUUUGGUGGUGGUGAGCCGACAGAACAAGAGGUAAAUCCUAGUGUCUCUUGUUGAACCUGUAAUUCCACGGCCCGGUUUCAGUAGCUAGGUUUGCAUUUCUUCAGCCAACUGAAUAAACGGCCAUGUGGGCCGGUAGUCAGCUCCCGUUAGAAUAGCUCAUUUUCAGUUAGAAGUAGCUAGCUUGGCGCGGCCGUUGCUGGGCAUGGGAUGGCAUGCUGAAUACAGCCGGCGGCUCGCGCACAUCACCCGGAUCACGAGCGUCGUGGGAUGGCACGACCGGUAAGCUCGCGGACGUGGUUGAUCUUUCUCUGUAACGUUUACAAAUAAGAGUAAUAGAAGUGAGAAAAGCUGCAGUUGUUGCACGCAGCACCAAAAACCCUCUCCUCCGUCUACCUUCAGCCCUCUGCGAUCUGCGAGAGAGAGAGAGCACUCCGACGUCUUCGGUUCCAACAUCUCUUGCUCUAAGACUCUGGGCAAAAGGCAGGUCCGACUUGUUGUUUGAAAGGUACCAUUUUCACACACAUCCGCUUAUAUGGAUACCCACUUACCUUUGAAGAUAAUUCAGCAUGCCGAGAGCAAGAAAAGGAAGACCCAGAGUUCCGACUCAGUGGAUCUUCACGAAGGUCUCUCUCUGGAGCCAUAUCCAUGUCGGGAUUGUAGGUAUGAAAAAUCAAGUCCUUUUGCUUCCUGUCCUCGAUCCGUGCAAAUGAAGGCACCGAUGAGUCCUUCAAACCCAGCGUUUGUGGCUUCCUCACCUUCAUCUCGCGCCUCAAGCACCAAUGCCGACUUUACCAUUAACGUUGGGUUAGCCGACACUUCAAUUGUAACAGUAAUAAUUUGCAAAUGUCUCCAUACCUUAUAUGUAUUCCUUUAUCUUUUUGAACAGGGCCAAGGCAACACUCAAGGAAAAGACGACUCCUUCCAUAGCCGCUAGUGCUGGAGCAGAGACAAUAAGCUGUGGUGGUGCUGUCAUGAACACUAGUGAGUCGGCAAGGACUGAGCUAGCCCAAGGUACUCCCUUCCAAGAUGAGCCGAUCUUGGAUGACUCAGUCCUUCAAGACCAACAAGAGGCAAUGAUGGAUGUGGUGAUGGAUAACAUGCCACCAGCCAUGGCCAGUCCUAAGCCGGUGGAAGAUGAGGUGGUGGUUACUCAUACUAAACACCAUACUCCACCCAAGACUUUGACAGUUCUGGUGAAAACUACAGUGGAACAUAACUCGGCUCCACCUAGUGAGCCGACUCAUGACGCCCAUCUCGAAUAAUAUGAAGACAUGGGUUUAUCAUCCCUUCACCAUGAGUAUGUAGAGGCAGAGCCUAUCAGCAUUUGUGUCGGCGCAGCAACUGUCAAUUCUUGAAAAAAUGAUUUUUCGCUUUGGUUACCCACACAACGUUAUCAUUUAUAAUGGCACCAACUUGUCCAAAUAAGCUAUGAAGCAGUUUUGCGAGAAGGAGCACAUCCGACUAGAUCUGGCCUCUGUAUCACAUCCGUAGUCUAACGGUAAAGCAAAGUGCCAAUCACGAACAAUUGCAUGGGAUUAAGCCAUGACUCAUGGUUCCCCUUGAGCGCACUCAUGGAUUGUGGGUUGAGGUGUUGGAAAUAUGCCCUAGAGACAAUAAUAAAUUGGUUAUUAUCAUAUUUACUUGUUCGUGAUAAUUGUUUAUUAUCAAUGGUGUAAUUGUAUUGGCCGAAAACUCAGAUACAUGUGUGGAUACAUAGACAACACCGUGUCACUAGUGAGGAUCUAUUAGAGUAGCUCAUUGAUCAAAGAUGGUUAAUGUUUCUAACCAUAGACAUGAGUUGUUGUGUGAUAAUGAGAUCACAUCAUUAGGAGAAUGAUGUGAUGGAUAGGACCCAACCGUAAGCAUAGCAUUUAAUCGUAUCCUAAGUUUAUUUC